This 693-nucleotide ribosomal RNA is filed under the name Salmonella enterica. Its description in RNAcentral is "partial 23S ribosomal RNA". It matches the Rfam family "Bacterial large subunit ribosomal RNA", at positions 1 to 735 of the family's 2925-position model. Lineage: Bacteria; Pseudomonadati; Pseudomonadota; Gammaproteobacteria; Enterobacterales; Enterobacteriaceae. The record is from RNAcentral.
GUUAAGCGACUAAGCGUACACGGUGGAUGCCCUGGCAGUCAGAGGCGAUGAAGGGCGUGCUAAUCUGCGAUAAGCGCCGGUAAGGUGAUAUGAACCGUUAUAACCGGCGAUACCCGAAUGGGGAAACCCAGUGUGACUCGUCACACUAUCAUUAACUGAAUCCAUAGGUUAAUGAGGCGAACCGGGGGAACUGAAACAUCUAAGUACCCCGAGGAAAAGAAAUCAACCGAGAUUCCCCCAGUAGCGGCGAGCGAACGGGGAGGAGCCCAGAGCCUGAAUCAGCAUGUGUGUUAGUGGAAGCGUCUGGAAAGGCGCGCGAUACAGGGUGACAGCCCCGUACACAAAAGCGCAUGUGCUGUGAGCUCGAUGAGUAGGGCGGGACACGUGGUAUCCUGUCUGAAUAUGGGGGGACCAUCCUCCAAGGCUAAAUACUCCUGACUGACCGAUAGUGAACCAGUACCGUGAGGGAAAGGCGAAAAGAACCCCGGCGAGGGGAGUGAAAAAGAACCUGAAACCGUGUACGUACAAGCAGUGGGAGCACAGGUUUACCUGUGUGACUGCGUACCUUUUGUAUAAUGGGUCAGCGACUUAUAUUCUGUAGCAAGGUUAACCGCAUAGGGGAGCCGGAGGGAAACCGAGUCUUAAUUGGGCGUUAAGUUGCAGGGUAUAGACCCGAAACCCGGUGAUCUAGCC